This 582-nucleotide small RNA is filed under the name Pan troglodytes (chimpanzee). RNAcentral describes it as "processed transcript". The record is from RNAcentral. Lineage: Eukaryota; Metazoa; Chordata; Mammalia; Primates; Hominidae.
AGAUUCUCGCAAAUGUGGAAGCGGAUCGCGUGGAGUGACGGUCACACCGCGGCGAAUUAAUUUCCAAAGACUCAUGUUACAUGAGAAAGCCACCAAGAAGACCAAAGAAAAGGAGACAAGGAUGGCUCUUCCUCAGGGAUGCUUGACUUUCAGGGAUGUGGCUAUAGAAUUCUCUUUGGAGGAGUGGAAAUGCCUGAACCCUGCACAGAGGGCUUUAUACAGGGCCGUGAUGUUGGAGAACUACAGGAACCUGGAGUCUGUGGGAUUGACUUCUAAGGACUCUUGGUACAUGAGGAAGAAACUCGGAAGAGGAAGAGGAAAGCAAAGGCGUCAGGAAUGGCUCUUCCUCAGGGUCUAUUGACAUUCAGGGACGUGGCCAUAGAAUUCUCUCAGGAGGAGUGGAAAUGCCUGGACCCUGCUCAGAGGACUCUAUACAGGGACGUGAUGCUGGAGAAUUAUAGGAACCUGGUCUCCCUGGUACUCUCUCAGUCCCCAUGCUACUCUCACCAUGUAAGGAAAGACACUUGCUUAUCCAUAGGACAGCUUUCUCAGGACACAGCCUAAACCAAUGUCUGCUCUGUA